GACGAACGCUGGCGGCGUGCUUAACACAUGCAAGUCGAACGGAAAGGCCCUGCUUUUGUGGGGUGCUCGAGUGGCGAACGGGUGAGUAACACGUGAGUAACCUGCCCUUGACUUUGGGAUAACUUCAGGAAACUGGGGCUAAUACCGGAUAGGAGCUCCUGCUGCAUGGUGGGGGUUGGAAAGUUUCGGCGGUUGGGGAUGGACUCGCGGCUUAUCAGCUUGUUGGUGGGGUAGUGGCUUACCAAGGCUUUGACGGGUAGCCGGCCUGAGAGGGUGACCGGCCACAUUGGGACUGAGAUACGGCCCAGACUCCUACGGGAGGCAGCGGUGGGGAAUAUUACACAAUGGGCGGAAGCCUGAGGCAGCGGCGCCGCGUGCGGGAUGACGGCCUUCGGGUUGUAAACCGCUUUCGCCUGUGACGAAGCGUGAGUGACGGUAAUGGGUAAAGAAGCACCGGCUAACUACGUG
This 468-nucleotide ribosomal RNA is filed under the name uncultured bacterium. RNAcentral describes it as "partial 16S ribosomal RNA". It matches the Rfam family "Bacterial small subunit ribosomal RNA", at positions 28 to 507 of the family's 1533-position model. The record is from RNAcentral.